UACUUAGGGUGCAAGCGUUGUCCGGAAUUAUUGGGCGUAAAGAGCUCGUAGGCGGUCUGUCGCGUCGGCUGUGAAAACUUGGGGCUCAACCCCAAGCCUGCAGUCGAUACGGGCAGACUAGAGUGCGGUAGGGGAGACUGGAAUUCCUGGUGUAGCGGUGAAAUGCGCAGAUAUCAGGAGGAACACCGGUGGCGAAGGCGGGUCUCUGGGCCGUAACUGACGCUGAGGAGCGAAAGCGUGGGGAGCGAACAGG
Molecule: ribosomal RNA, 253 nt
Filed under: uncultured bacterium
Lineage: Bacteria
Description: partial 16S ribosomal RNA
Rfam family: Bacterial small subunit ribosomal RNA
Source: RNAcentral